GAGUUUGAUCGUGGCUCAGAUUGAACGCUGGCGGCAUGCCUUACACAUGCAAGUCGAACGGCAGCAUGAUCUAGCUUGCUAGAUUGAUGGCGAGUGGCGAACGGGUGAGUAAUACAUCGGAACGUGCCCUGUAGUGGGGGAUAACUAGUCGAAAGAUUAGCUAAUACCGCAUACGACCUGAGGGUGAAAGUGGGGGACCGCAAGGCCUCAUGCUAUAGGAGCGGCCGAUGUCUGAUUAGCUAGUUGGUGGGGUAAAGGCCCACCAAGGCGACGAUCAGUAGCUGGUCUGAGAGGACGAUCAGCCACACUGGGACUGAGACACGGCCCAGACUCCUACGGGAGGCAGCAGUGGGGAAUUUUGGACAAUGGGCGAAAGCCUGAUCCAGCAAUGCCGCGUGUGUGAAGAAGGCCUGG
Molecule: ribosomal RNA, 414 nt
Filed under: uncultured microorganism
Description: bacterial SSU rRNA
Rfam family: Bacterial small subunit ribosomal RNA
Source: RNAcentral